AUUGAACGCUGGCGGCAUGCCUUACACAUGCAAGUCGAACGGCAGCACGGGUGCUUGCACCUGGUGGCGAGUGGCGAACGGGUGAGUAAUACAUCGGAACAUGUCCUGUAGUGGGGGAUAGCCCGGCGAAAGCCGGAUUAAUACCGCAUACGAUCUACGGAUGAAAGCGGGGGCCCUUCGGGCCUCGCGCUAUAGGGUUGGCCGAUAGCUGAUUAGCUAGUUGGUGGGGUAAAGGCCUACCAAGGCGACGAUCAGUAGCUGGUCUGAGAGGACGACCAGCCACACUGGGACUGAGACACGGCCCAGACUCCUACGGGAGGCAGCAGUGGGGAAUUUUGGACAAUGGGCGAAAGCCUGAUCCAGCAAUGCCGCGUGUGUGAAGAAGGCCUUCGGGUUGUAAAGCACUUCUGUCCGGAAAGAAAUCCUUGGCUCCAAUACAGUCGGGGGAUGACGGUACCGGAAGAAUAAGCACCGGCUAACUACGUG
RNAcentral lists this ribosomal RNA (486 nucleotides) under uncultured bacterium. Its description in RNAcentral is "partial 16S ribosomal RNA". It matches the Rfam family "Bacterial small subunit ribosomal RNA", at positions 30 to 507 of the family's 1533-position model. The record is from RNAcentral.